This 300-nucleotide ribosomal RNA is filed under the name Pseudomonas sp. It matches the Rfam family "Bacterial small subunit ribosomal RNA", at positions 195 to 477 of the family's 1533-position model. The record is from RNAcentral. Lineage: Bacteria; Pseudomonadati; Pseudomonadota; Gammaproteobacteria; Pseudomonadales; Pseudomonadaceae.
UACGGGAGAAAGCAGGGGACCUUCGGGCCUUGCGCUAUCAGAUGAGCCUAGGUCGGAUUAGCUAGUUGGUGAGGUAAUGGCUCACCAAGGCGACGAUCCGUAACUGGUCUGAGAGGAUGAUCAGUCACACUGGAACUGAGACACGGUCCAGACUCCUACGGGAGGCAGCAGUGGGGAAUAUUGGACAAUGGGCGAAAGCCUGAUCCAGCCAUGCCGCGUGUGUGAAGAAGGUCUUCGGAUUGUAAAGCACUUUAAGUUGGGAGGAAGGGCCGUAACUUAAUACGUUGCUGUUUUACCGUU